RNAcentral lists this ribosomal RNA (372 nucleotides) under uncultured organism. RNAcentral's name for it is "partial 16S ribosomal RNA". It matches the Rfam family "Bacterial small subunit ribosomal RNA", at positions 527 to 896 of the family's 1533-position model. The record is from RNAcentral.
GUAGGUGGCAAGCGUUGUCCGGAAUUAUUGGGCGUAAAGCGCGCACAGGCGGUUCUUUAAGUCUGAUGUGAAAGCCCACGGCUCAACCGUGGAGGGUCAUUGGAAACUGGAGAACUUGAGUACAGAAGAGGAAAGCGGAAUUCCACGUGUAGCGGUGAAAUGCGUAGAGAUGUGGAGGAACACCAGUGGCGAAGGCGGCUUUCUGGUCUGUAACUGACGCUGAGGCGCGAAAGCGUGGGGAGCAAACAGGAUUAGAUACCCUGGUAGUCCACGCCGUAAACGAUGAGUGCUAAGUGUUAGGGGGUUUCCGCCCCCCUUAGUGCUGCAGCUAACGCAUUAAGCACUCCGCCUGGGAGUACGGCCGCAAGGCUG